Molecule: small nucleolar RNA, 147 nt
Filed under: Mus musculus (house mouse)
Lineage: Eukaryota; Metazoa; Chordata; Mammalia; Rodentia; Muridae
Description: Small nucleolar RNA SNORA48
Rfam family: Small nucleolar RNA SNORA48
About the family: The snoRNA ACA 48 has been identified to guide pseudouridylation of the residue U3797 in the 28S rRNA subunit.
Source: Rfam by way of RNAcentral
UUUCCCUGGCAAUGGGCAAAGAGGCACCUUGGUGGUGGUGGUGGUGUUCCUCUAUCAGUCAGGGGCAGAACAGAUGGCAGUCCUUUGUUCAUCCUAGCUUGAUGCCUGGCUUGGUAACUGAUGCUGUUUUAUGCCCAGGACUCAUAA